GAAGAUAAGUAUCCCAGGAACUUCAAAGAUGUUUGAAACUGACUCCAGCUAAAAAGAGGAAGAUAAACAACAACGAAAUAUCAUACAGAUGAUGUCGUAAGAAAUAAAUCAGCUUUACCAGCAAAGCCUACACUUUGUGAUCUUAUUUGAAAAUUGACAUUAAAGAUAAGAUCUUACUCUAAUUUAUUGCUGCCCUGUUAUAAUCAGGAUGAACCACCAAUGCAAAUCUCAACACCAUUCCCACCUAUUCUGGCAAUCAAACAUUGGAAUCCGCAUGACUCCAGUUCAGCAAUUACUUUAUCAACAACUGUUCCUGAUAACAAGGUUGGUAGCAGAGUCAGUACGCAACCCCCACCCCCUGCUCCAGUCAACUUGGAAGCUAACUUGUAUUUCAAUGUUGUCCGAAGAACAGUUUCUAUAGAAGCAUGGCUGACCCCCAUGCAUUGAAGCAAGCCUUGAUUCAUUUCCAUUAACUCUUCUAGCUUCUCUUCCUUCUCAGUUAUGGACACAUCAUCUGGAGCAGGUGACAGGAUGAUGUUAGCCAGAUCGUUACUGAUAGAAUCAACAGCAUUAAAAACAAAACUCAUGGCAUUCGGGUGCCGUAAAGUUCUCUCUGAAACGCCAGCAACCAGUGCUUUUGUGUUCCUCCCAACUUUUGUGUUAGUAACAAGCAUUUUGAGCGGCAUUUUGGACACGAUGCGUGUCAGAUUACCAGACCUGAACUUGAUCAUGUUGCCUGUUAGGAAGACCAAAAGAAAUACUACACAAAUCAGGAAGCAAAAUAUUCCAAUUAAAGGAACUUGAAUUUUUCUGAUCCUGUUCAUAGUAUUUCAGCACGAUGCACAUAAUAGUUUGUUCCAAUCAAUGCUUGACUGCAAAACCUAGCUGUUAUGAAUUAUGAUGCAGAGAUAAAGAAGGUAGAGUAUGUACACAUGAAAAAUCUGUCGGUAUACCUCACCAAUUUAUACGUACCAUAUGUGCUGACAGUGUUGUCUAUUCCAGAUGGCUUUCCAUGAAUUAUCUUUUCACCUUCAAAAGCCCAGUUGUUUAAUAAUUCAAGGUCAGGCUCCCCAAACAUUGACCACCCUUGGUGCUGUGCGUCCACAUUUACAGAGUCUGAGAGAGCAAGUAGAGCAGCUGAGAGGGCAACACAAAAUGCAGCAGAUGAUCCUAGGCCUGAACCCAGUGGAAGGUCAGAAGUGACAACUACAGUGGCAGGCUUAAAUCCUCGAAUAGAUGUAUAUAACCAUAAAAAGGCUGAUACUCCCGAAGCAAGUGCAAUUUUUGCCUCUGGGAUAUUUUGUUCUUCAACCAAAGCUGAAAUUGACUUAAGUGAUUCCAUCGAGCAAGACGUGGGUGUUGAAGAGGAAGGAGCACCCAAAUUAGAUAAUGCUUCUUUGAUUCUCCCAAUUGGCCAUGAAAAUUCUAGUGCCACAUCCUUGAGCUGAAGUUUCAGUGAAUCAUCAUUCUCAGCGGUGGGAAAAGAAAUAGUGGCAUAGGUGUAGAGAUCAAUAGACGCAGCGACUGCAGUGGAUCCGUGCACCACUGCGUGUUCACCGGAGAGAAUGAUUUUCCCAGGAGCCCUUGCUUUCACUUCCAUUGUUUUCCGUACCUCUCAAAUCCCAAUUACCUGUUUCGAGAAAUCUUCAAUCGUUGAAGUCAUCUAGCUCAGCGCGCUCUGAGAUUUAUGGAUCCAUUAAUAGAGAAACUCAUGAUUGGGCACUUUUGGCGGAGAAAACCGAACCAAA
RNAcentral lists this unclassified non-coding RNA (1748 nucleotides) under Hevea brasiliensis (rubber tree). The record is from RNAcentral. Lineage: Eukaryota; Viridiplantae; Streptophyta; Magnoliopsida; Malpighiales; Euphorbiaceae.